RNAcentral lists this ribosomal RNA (460 nucleotides) under uncultured bacterium. RNAcentral describes it as "partial 16S ribosomal RNA". It matches the Rfam family "Bacterial small subunit ribosomal RNA", at positions 338 to 795 of the family's 1533-position model. The record is from RNAcentral.
CCUACGGUGGGCUGCAGUGAGGAAUAUUGGUCAAUGGGCGCGAGCCUGAACCAGCCAAGUAGCGUGAAGGAUGACUGCCCUACGGGUUGUAAACUUCGUUUAUAAAGGAAUAAAGUGAGGCACGUGUGCCUUUUUGUAUGUACUUUAUGAAUAAGGAUCGGCUAACUCCGUGCCAGCAGCCGCGGUAAUACGGAGGAUCCGAGCGUGAUCCGGAUUUAUUGGGUUUAAAGGGAGCGUAGGUGGGUUUGUAAGUCAGUUGUGAAAGUUUGCGGCUCAACCGUAAAAUUGCAAUGGAUACUGGCAGACUUGAGUACAGUAGAGGUAGGCGGAAUUCGUGGUGUAGCGGUGAAAUGCUUAGAUAUCACGAAGAACUCAGAUUGCGAAGGCAGCCUACUAAACUGCCACUGACAUUGAUGCUCGAAAGUGUGGGUAGCAAACAGGAUUAGAUACCCGUGUAGUC